This 322-nucleotide ribosomal RNA is filed under the name Bodomorpha sp. RNAcentral describes it as "SSU rRNA". The stretch from base 112 to 322 matches the Rfam family "Eukaryotic small subunit ribosomal RNA", at positions 744 to 955 of the family's 1831-position model. The record is from RNAcentral. Lineage: Eukaryota; Cercozoa; Glissomonadida; Viridiraptoridae.
GAUUUCUGGCUUGAAACAUUUUGCCGGCCACGGUUUCGUGUGUUAGUGCUUGAUGUUCUGGCCAUCCUUCCAAUUGCUAUUGGUUGCUCUUAAUUGAGUAGUCAGUAGUAUUGGAUCUUUUACUUUGAAAAAAUUAGAGUGUUUCGAGCAGGCUUUAUGCUAUGAAUACAUUAGCAUGGAAUAAUAAUUCAGGACUUCGGUUCUAUUUUGUUGGUUUCUAGGACUGAAGUAAUGAUUGAUAGGGAUAGUUGGGGGUGCUAGUAUUCAUCGGCCAGAGGUGAAAUUCUCGGAUUCGCUGAAGACUAACUUAUGCGAAAGCAUU